CUUCAUCAACUCUUUACGUGGCAUGUUGCCAUUCGUCUCCAAUUUUCACUCCUUGCAUGAGACACCAGUUUUAAGAGAUUCUCUUCCCUUAUUCCAUCCGAUCAUUGCCUUAGGCCAUGUUUCUCGAGUAUUUUUUUUUUUUCAGCGGUCUCCUUUUUCUUUCGUCGUUAUCCAUGUGAUAUUUUUCUGCUCCCCGUUUUUCCUUCAGACAGCAUCCCAACCAAUCCUAUUGACUCUCACCAACCUUUUUGAGUAAUGCUUCAUACAGUCAUUGCGUGUACAAAUGCCGUACAAUCGUUUUGAAAAAAAGUAUGGCUGACGAUUAAAAAACUAAUUUUUUUCAUGUGGAUUUCAUAUUAAUUUACUUUUUUUAAAGAGACUAUAUGACGCUUACACAACCAUGACUGCAAAUAUCAUUUUUCCCUUUUUCUUUAUCUUCUCCACGGAUCAGCUGCGAUACCACAACCCAGUUUUCAUCCAACUCAAAACAGAGCACCUAUUAACCACCCAGCUGCUCGACAGAAGCCGCAAGACCACUGAUUCAAACUUCCAACCCAUUGCCUUACACCACCACCGUCGACUCCAUUGCAUGUCUCUCUCUCAGACUUCGUUGUCGUGGUCCCCAGCCGCGCCGUGGCAACCUCCACCCAGAUGGAUCAGCAGCACACUAGCACCCCGAAGCCAAGCCAACCACCAUCAUCAAACCCAACAACCCAGCCUUCCGGCACCCAAGGCCACGGCAACAACCAGGUAGCACAACCAUGCCUACGUUCAAACUCCCCUGUUUUAACCUCAUGAAAACAGAGACGGUGCAACACCUCCCAUCCACUGCUCCUGCACAACGGAAGCCGCCCUAGAACUGCCCAACACCAAAAUGCCAGCCCCCACCCACGGCCAACCAGCCUCCACGUUGCCACCAAGUUCUCUGCUUGACAAUGCCGAAAACAGAGUGAGCCUUGUACUCAUCAGCCCCCAUUCUUCCCCCGCACAACUGCCCUCCACCCUUAUGCACCGUCAUUAACAACAGACAACGACGGAGAGCAAGACUUCACUGCCCGACUGAAGCCCUCCACCGUGCACUGCUGCACCCCAACACACCCAGCUGCUCAACCGCACUGUGACCGAAGCCUCACAUUAAGACCGUACGAUUUUUCUAGCCACGUUCGGCGCGUCCACGGAAAACCCACUUCACGUUCAUCCUCCAUCGCACCAAGGACUGGCCGUACGUAAAAGGUCUAGGAUUCACCUGCACUUAACUGUUGAGUAAAAGAGAAAAGGCAAGAACACAAAGUGUUUGAGAAAAGAAGUAAACCAACACAGACUCAGGAAUCCCUUCGAAUACUCAUUCUUCUGUGUCCCUUGGGUAGUACAUUCUGUUAUUGCCUACAUUCUAGAGUAUUGCAGAAUAUUCUCUUUGUAGUGCCUUGAGUGUGCUGUGCAUGUCUGCUGUAGUGCGUUGCUCUGUUUCUGUCAAGUGAGUGGGAGAGUCGUGUACAGAGUGAGGAGCAGCUCCUUGUGGUGUUGCAGCUGAGUGAGGUGCCUUAAUAUUAACCAACAAGACUAGCCCGUACGCACGGUUCCACUCCCUCUCGGUGAGCAUAUGGCCGGCCCUCACUCUCCCUCUCACGGUGUUCAGUCGCUUCACCACGGAGCUAGUGCCACUGCCGAAGUCGCCGUAGCCAGCUUCCAGCCGCCACAUUUUUUCCUCUCCUUCCUCGGUGACCUCUGAUGCUUUGGGUAUGACUGCCGCCGCUCUAACAUUUUGGUUCUAAAAUUUUUUUGUUACCUUGAGUUGCUUCUAGGGUUACAUACUAGUGUGUAUAGAAGUACGGUUAUGCCCUUAGGCAAUUCAUGGCAAAACUAAUACUAUUGGCUUUGGAUGGGUUUAUUUUCAA
This is a long non-coding RNA of Carya illinoinensis, 1895 nucleotides long. RefSeq lists it as uncharacterized. The transcript has 2 exons. The record is from RefSeq and is a predicted model, not a curated record. Lineage: Eukaryota; Viridiplantae; Streptophyta; Magnoliopsida; Fagales; Juglandaceae.